RNAcentral lists this ribosomal RNA (462 nucleotides) under uncultured bacterium. RNAcentral describes it as "bacterial SSU rRNA". It matches the Rfam family "Bacterial small subunit ribosomal RNA", at positions 28 to 507 of the family's 1533-position model. The record is from RNAcentral.
GAUGAACGCUGGCGGCGUGCCUAACACAUGCAAGUCGAGCGGGGACAAUGACUUCGGUUGUUGUUCUAGCGGCGGACGGGUGAGUAACGCGUGAGCAACCUCUCUCUCAGUGGGGAAUAACACAGGGAAACUUGUACUAAUACCGCAUGGGACCACGACCCGGCAUCGGGUUGAGGUGAAAGAUUAAUCGCUGAGAGGUGGGCUCGCGUCUGAUUAGAUAGUUGGUGGGUAACGGCCUACCAAGUCGACGAUCAGUAGCCGACCUGAGAGGGUGAUCGGCCACAUUGGGACUGAGACACGGUCCAAACUCCUACGGGAGGCAGCAGUGGGGAAUAUUGCACAAUGGGCGAAAGCCUGAUGCAGCAACGCCGCGUGAAGGAAGAAGGUCUUCGGAUCGUAAACUUCUGUCCUUAGGGAAGAUAAAUGACGGUACCUUUGGAGGAAGCCCCGGCUAACUACGUG